UGGGGAAUAUUGCACAAUGGGGGGAACCCUGAUGCAGCGACGCCGCGUGAGCGAAGAAGGUUUUCGGAUUGUAAAGCUCUGUCUUAGGGGACGAAAGAUGACGGUACCCUGAGAGGAAGUCACGGCUAACUACGUGCCAGCAGCCGCGGUAAAACGUAGGUGGCAAGCGUUGUCCGGAAUUACUGGGUGUAAAGGGAGCGCAGGUGGGUGUGCAAGUUGGGAGUGAAACUCAUGGGCUCAACCCAUGACCUGCUUUCAAAACUGUGCAUCUUGAGUGGAGUAAGAGGCAGGCGGAAUUCCCGGUGUAGCGGUGGAAUGCGUAGAUAUCGGGGAGGAACACCAGUGGCGAAGGCGGCCUGCUGGGCUCUAACUGACACUGAGGCUCGAAAGCGUGGGUAGCAAACAGGAUUAGAUACCC
Molecule: ribosomal RNA, 418 nt
Filed under: uncultured bacterium
Lineage: Bacteria
Description: bacterial SSU rRNA
Rfam family: Bacterial small subunit ribosomal RNA
Source: RNAcentral